UGUGUAGGCGGUUCUUUAAGUUUGCUGUGAAAUCUCCCGGCUUAACCGGGAGGGUGCGGUGAAUACUGAGGGACUAGAGUACGGGAGAGGAAAGUGGAAUUCCUGGUGUAGCGGUGAAAUGCGUAGAUAUCAGGAGGAACACCGGUGGUGUAGACGGCUUUCUGGACCGACACUGACGCUGAGACACGAAAGCGUGGGUAGCAAAACA
RNAcentral lists this ribosomal RNA (208 nucleotides) under uncultured bacterium. Its description in RNAcentral is "partial 16S ribosomal RNA". It matches the Rfam family "Bacterial small subunit ribosomal RNA", at positions 568 to 775 of the family's 1533-position model. The record is from RNAcentral.